Long non-coding RNA from Aethalodelphis obliquidens (Pacific white-sided dolphin), 2064 nucleotides. RefSeq lists it as uncharacterized. The record is from RefSeq and is a predicted model, not a curated record. Lineage: Eukaryota; Metazoa; Chordata; Mammalia; Artiodactyla; Delphinidae. The transcript is spliced from 4 exons.
CCCUCAGGGUCAACGCAGCAUCCCCCCAGCCCCCAGCCACCCAGGUGCUCUUCAAGGCGACUUCUUCUCCAAGGUAGAAGUGCUUGUGAGUCUAGGAGGAAAUGGGCACGACGUUUGAGCAAAUGUAAACGCGUGGGCAGUAGUGGAGAAGUAGGAGACAGUCAAGGCCGUACGACUCCAGGCUGAGGCCAGGCUGAGGCCGAGCUGGAGCUGGGAGCCCGGAGCCCUUGGGGCCGUGGAAGAACACGGUGAUCUCAGGGAGCGCCGCGUCUCCACUGGAGAGGAGAGAGCGGGGUCUCCAGGACGCAGGUAAACAGCCAAACCUGUUCCCAGGUAGCGACCGCAUAGGCCUUAAACCCUAGAAAGUCAGUUUUGCAGACGGGAAUAUUUUUAAUUUGUAACGAAGUCCUUCCCUGACGUUCCAGCCCUCGAUGCAAAGUUAUUCGUUAAGAGCCUGCCUACACAGUGGAUCGCAUCCGUGUCCAGGAGGGAGUUCAGGAACCGAGACCCAGGAGGUGGAGGAGAUGGAGGAGGUGGGUGAGUGCGCCCGAGCCUCCAGGCUGGGCCCAGCCGCACCCAGAAGGCCGCACCCACCGCCUCGUGCUCCUCGCCGCCCCCCUCCUCCCUCCCGCGGGGCAGGCAUCCAUCGCGGCGCCCGGGCGCCCUCCCUCCGGUCUCCUCCGGGCUCCUCCAUUCUCCUCCCGGGGUUUGCCUCAUUUGCAUUCCUCCGGCUCCCGGCUCCUCGGCAAAGUGACCUCCGCACACAGCCGCGCCAAAGGCUUCCACCGCGGAGGGAGACACCGCCUCCCGCCGCGCUCCGCGGCCGGGGAGGAGCGAGGGGCGCGAGCCGGCACGGCGGGGCGGCGGCCCGGGCCCCAGCGGAUGGAUGCAGAGGGAAAGGCCCGGUGCCGAGGGACGCAGAGGGACUCGGAUGGGAUUUGAACCCGCGGCCUCAGAUCCUCAGCGGGGCGGGAGUGGGACGUGGAGGAAAUUUUUAAUUAAAAUAAUCAAGACUCGGGGCUUCUCUGGACAAAUUGGAAGACCCCCUAACACCGGGCAUCCCUGACCACAGGGCAACAGUUAGCUGGGGCUGAGAAACAGCUGCUCCCUUCAAGGGUUCUAAUAUUCUAUAUCACUAAUACAGAAACUGAGGCUCACAGAAGCUAACUUCUCCAAGGCCACCCAGCCAAGGUUUGAGUCCAGACCGUCUGGCUCCCGAACCCACACACUUGACCACUCCACCGUACAGUCCCCAGCUGAGAGGAGACGCUGGAAUUUAGAGCCACAUUUUACAGCUGAAGAGACGAAGCCUAGGAAGAAAGAGUGAUUUCUGCCUUCUAUGCAGGACCUGAGGACACAGUGGGCUGGGAUCAGUGGAGGAGAGGCCACUGCCAUCACCCCCUAAGACCCUCUGACCUCCAGGUCCUCCCUGCUGCCGAAGUGGUCUUCCUAAAAUGCAGACUGCAUCGCAUCUUGCGGCUGGCCUUCACCUUCAAGAUAAAUCUGAACUACAGGCCUUUCUCCUCCCCACCUCCCAGAGCUUCCAGAACACGGCUCCAUGCUAUUGCACGCCUGCGCCGAAAAUGUCCCUUCCCAUCUCUUCAUCUGGAAAACUCGGCUUUCAAAACCCAGCUGGCAUUGUCACUUCCUCUAUGAGUCCACUCUGCCCCAGAGUUGGGUUCUCAGGUCCAGGCACCCCUGGCCUCUGGCCACACCUCACCGGUAGCACUUGUAUCAUUUGCGAUGGUUGGUUUUUGACUGUCUCUCCCACUAGUCCAAGGGUUCCUGAGAAGCAGGGAUUGUCAUUCGGCUGUGUUUCCCUCACACCUAGCUAGUGCCUAGCACAAAACUUAAAAAAAAAAAAAAUUCGUGUGUGUGUGUGUGUGUUUAUAUGUAUUUUUAAUACUAAAGCUUGAACAAAUAAAAGGGGUGCAUGACAGUCAGUCAGACUCAGGGACAGGGAGCUUCACAAACAAGGACAGAGACGCUCUGCCUUGCUGAUUAUGCGCCUCCCUCCAUAAUUCUGGGGGCCUGCUGUUUCCUGCCUCCUGGCCUUUGCACAUG